GCAGCCACUGGACAGUGUCCCAUCAGAACCCCAUCAGGCUCCGGCUCCCAGAUAACAAGCAGGCGCUCCCUGCCAUCACUGCCAUCAUUGAGUUCACUGCCAUCACUGAGUUCACUGCCAUCAUCUAUAUCACUGACGUCACUGCCAUCAUUGAGUUCACUGCCAUCACUGAGUUCACUGCCAUCACUGAGUUCACUGCCAUCAUCUAUAUCACUGACGUCACUGCCAUCAUUGAGUUCACUGCCAUCACUGAGUUCACUGCCAUUACUGAGUUCACUGCCAUCAUCUAUAUCACUGACGUCACUGCCAUCAUUGAGUUCACUGCCGUCACUGCCAUCAUUGAGUUCACUGGCAUCACUGCCAUCACUGAGUUCACUGCCAUCAUCUACAUCACUGCCAUCACUGAGUUCACUGCCAUCACUGAGUUCACUGCCAUCAUCUAUAUCACUGACGUCACUGCCAUCACUGAGUUCACUGCCAUCACUGAGUUCACUGCCAUCAUCUAUAUCACUGACGUCACUGCCAUCACUGAGUUCACUGCCAUCACUGAGUUCACUGCCAUCAUCUAUAUCACUGACGUCACUGCCAUCAGAGUUUACUGCCAUCACUGAGUUCACUGCCAUCACUGAGUUCACUGCCAUCACUGAGUUCACUGCCAUCAUCUAUAUCACUGACGUCACUGCCAUCAUUGAGUUCACUGCCAUCACUGAGUUCACUGCCAUUACUGAGUUCACUGCCAUCAUCUAUAUCACUGACGUCACUGCCAUCAUUGAGUUCACUGCCGUCACUGCCAUCAUUGAGUUCACUGGCAUCACUGCCAUCACUGAGUUCACUGCCAUCAUCUACAUCACUGCCAUCACUGAGUUCACUGCCAUCACUGAGUUCACUGCCAUCACUGAGUUCACUGCCAUCACUGAGUUCACUGCCAUCAUCUACGUCACUGCCAUCACUGACGUCACUGCCACCAUUGCCAUCACUAAGUUAACUGUCAUCAUCGGCAUCACUGCCAUCACUGGCAUCACUGAGUUCACUGCCAUCACUGAGUUCACUGCCAUCAUCUAUAUCACUGACGUCACUGCCAUCAUUGAGUUCACUGCCAUUACUGAGUUCACUGCCAUCAUCUAUAUCACUGACGUCACUGCCAUCAUUGAGUUCACUGCCAUCACUGAGUUCACUGCCAUUACUGAGUUCACUGCCAUCAUCUAUAUCACUGACGUCACUGCCAUCAUUGAGUUCACUGCCGUCACUGCCAUCAUUGAGUUCACUGGCAUCACUGCCAUCACUGAGUUCACUGCCAUCAUCUACAUCACUGCCAUCACUGAGUUCACUGCCAUCACUGAGUUCACUGCCAUCAUCUAUAUCACUGACGUCACUGCCAUCACUGACGUCACUGCCAUCACUGAGUUCACUGCCAUCACUGAGUUCACUGCCAUCAUCUAUAUCACUGACGUCACUGCCAUCACUGAGUUCACUGCCAUCACUGAGUUCACUGCCAUCAUCUAUAUCACUGACGUCACUGCCAUCAGAGUUUACUGCCAUCACUGA
RNAcentral lists this long non-coding RNA (1545 nucleotides) under Betta splendens (Siamese fighting fish). Its description in RNAcentral is "lncRNA (ENSBSLG00000015565.1)". Lineage: Eukaryota; Metazoa; Chordata; Actinopteri; Anabantiformes; Osphronemidae. The record is from RNAcentral.